GCAACUUUGGCCGAGCGGUUAAGGUCAGCUGAUCUCUAUCCUCAAAAUCCGAAUCAAAACUAACAUAAUAAACAGGCGCCAGACUCAAGAGAAAUUACCUCUUCACUGAUUACAGUGAGCAUUCUGGUCACGAAAGUGGCGUGGGUUCGAUUCCCACAGGUUGCA
This 165-nucleotide transfer RNA is filed under the name Penicillium flavigenum. It matches the Rfam family "tRNA". Rfam says of the family: Transfer RNA (tRNA) molecules are approximately 80 nucleotides in length. The record is from Rfam by way of RNAcentral. Lineage: Eukaryota; Fungi; Ascomycota; Eurotiomycetes; Eurotiales; Aspergillaceae.